GAUGAAGAACGUAGCGAAAUGCGAUAAGUAAUGUGAAUUGCAGAAUUCAGUGAAUCAUCGAAUCUUUGAACGCACAUUGCGCCCGCCAGUAUUCUGGCGGGCAUGCCUGUCCGAGCGUCAUUUCAACCCUCGCGCCCAUCUGGGCUGCGGUGUUGGGGACCGGCCUGCCCCCCGGGGCGCGCCGCCCCCCAAAUUUAGUGGCGGUCUCGCUGCAGCCUCCCUUGCGUAGUAGCACACCUCGCACCGGAGCGCAGCGCGGCCACGCCGUAAAACCCCCGACCCCCAUGAGUUUGACCUCGGAUCAGGUAGGAAUACCCGCUGAACUUAAGCAUAUCAAUAAGCGGAGGA
RNAcentral lists this unclassified non-coding RNA (348 nucleotides) under soil metagenome. RNAcentral describes it as "partial contains 5.8S ribosomal RNA, internal transcribed spacer 2, and large subunit ribosomal RNA". The stretch from base 1 to 120 matches the Rfam family "5.8S ribosomal RNA", at positions 35 to 154 of the family's 154-position model. The record is from RNAcentral.